GCUGGGCAUGGUGGCACAUGCCUCUAAUCCUAGAAGCUUUGGAGGCUGAGGCAAGAGGAUCACAAGUUCAAAGCCAGCCUCAGCAAUUUAGCAAGGCCCUGUGCAACUUAGUGAGACCCUGUAUCUA
This 127-nucleotide small RNA is filed under the name Marmota monax (woodchuck). Lineage: Eukaryota; Metazoa; Chordata; Mammalia; Rodentia; Sciuridae. The record is from RNAcentral.